GAUGAAGAACGUAGCGAAAUGCGAUACGUAAUGUGAAUUGCAAAUUCAGUGAAUCAUCGAGUCUUUGAACGCACAUUGCGCCCGUCAGUAUUCUGGCGGGCAUGCCUGUUCGAGCGUCAUUACGCCCCUCAAGUCCCCUGUGGACUUGGUGUUGGGGAUCGGCGAGGCUGGUUUUCCAGCACAGCCGUCCCUUAAAUUAAUUGGCGGUCUCGCCGUGGCCCUCCUCUGCGCAGUAGUAAAACACUCGCAACAGGAGCCCGGCGCGGUCCACUGCCGUAAAACCCCCCAACUUUUUAUAGUUGACCUCGAAUCAGGUAGGACUACCCGCUGAACUUAAGCAUAUCAAUAAGCGGAGGA
RNAcentral lists this unclassified non-coding RNA (357 nucleotides) under soil metagenome. RNAcentral's name for it is "partial contains 5.8S ribosomal RNA, internal transcribed spacer 2, and large subunit ribosomal RNA". The stretch from base 1 to 119 matches the Rfam family "5.8S ribosomal RNA", at positions 35 to 154 of the family's 154-position model. The record is from RNAcentral.